GCUCUUGGCAUGGAGUCCAAUCCGCCCAGAACAAGGAAUUCAGGGCCCACUGUUAAUUUGGAAGACACAAAGUCAGGACAUGUGGCCAGGUGCUUUUUCUGAAUCGGCUUCUGAAGGUAACAGGAAUCUUCAGAUAAAUAGACAGACACAGACAGAAUGUAUGACAACACAACUUAAGAGCAAAAGGUCUCCGUGGAAAAACAAAUGAAGAUGACAUGUGGAACUACAGCCUGGAGUUACACUUUAUUACUUUAACAAUACUUACACAAAGAAAAAAUUUUUUAACC
Molecule: long non-coding RNA, 287 nt
Organism: Ochotona princeps (American pika)
Lineage: Eukaryota; Metazoa; Chordata; Mammalia; Lagomorpha; Ochotonidae
Exons: 2
Source: RefSeq, a predicted model, not a curated record